CGAAGGGGGCUAGCGUUGUUCGGAAUCACUGGGCGUAAAGCGCACGUAGGCGGAUUGUUAAGUCGGGGGUGAAAUCCUGAGGCUCAACCUCAGAACUGCCUCCGAUACUGGCAAUCUCGAGUUCGGAAGAGGUUGGUGGAACAGCUAGUGUAGAGGUGAAAUUCGUAGAUAUUAGCUAGAACACCAGUGGCGAAGGCGGCCAACUGGUCCGACACUGACGCUGAGGUGCGAAAGCGUGGGGGAGCAAACAGGAUUAGAUACCCUGGUAGUCCACGCCGUAAAUGAUGGAUGCUAGCCGUCGGGGAGCUUGCUCUUCGGCGGCGCAGUUAACACUUUAAGCAUCCCGCCUGGGGAGUACGGUCGCAAGAUUA
This 371-nucleotide ribosomal RNA is filed under the name uncultured organism. RNAcentral describes it as "bacterial SSU rRNA". It matches the Rfam family "Bacterial small subunit ribosomal RNA", at positions 526 to 896 of the family's 1533-position model. The record is from RNAcentral.